This is a long non-coding RNA of Chinchilla lanigera (long-tailed chinchilla), 1793 nucleotides long. The record is from Ensembl. NCBI's taxonomy places the organism in Eukaryota, Metazoa, Chordata, Mammalia, Rodentia, Chinchillidae.
UGCUCCAGCAGGUCUGUGCAGGGCAGCGUGGCUGGAGCGGUAGUGAGAGCGGGGCCGGCUCUCCAGGCGUGCCCAAGCCUGUCAGUGCCAGAGAGCUGUGUGAACACUCUCACAGGGUCUCAGAGACCUACCUGCUCAGAGUGGUCUGCCUGACUACGAGCGUGGGUGGGGCUGUGUGGCCACUGCCUAGUGGCCUUGGUGGCUGAGCUUCCUAGAAUGGGCUGUUCCUUGAUCCCGGGACCAGAGGAGGGUGGGCUAACAGCCUGCCUACUUAGGGAGGGAGCUCAGUGCAGAGCUGCCCAGGACCAGCUGGAUUCCGCAAUUAAAGUCCUAGGCAGAGGAUGGGGACGGAAUAGUGGCACAGCCCAGCACCAGUCCAGCGCUCCAUUCAUCACUGCCCAAGGGCAGCUGCACAACCUUCACAAUGAUCCCAGGAAGAGGGAAGGAAGGGGAAGCGCCGGCUCCUUGGAACGGGAGCACUAUUUGACAUAAAUGAAGACAAGGACAAUGAUCAAGUCUGAAAGAGAGUUAAUUGAAAACGACCGGCCUGCUCUGAUCUGCAGUUUGUGCUCCUUAGGAGGAUUUUGGAAGCCAGGGUAAGUCAAAUGCUUUGAUAUGAGGGUUCAUCCUAGGAGGCACAAACACCGUACUUUAUUGACUUCAAAUCAGGAAAAGGCCAACUUCACAGCAGCUCAGAGGAAAGCUACUUUCCAGGUGACUCCUCUCUUAAUUGCAGUGCUCGUUAAAAUUGUGUUUUCUUCCCCCUACAAGAUCUAGACAAGCUCUUUAAAAAGUAUCAAAGAAUGGGGAAAUACAGAGUGGACAUUAAGGGUUUGACUCUAUUUUUCUCUGGACCAAAUACCCCGCUGUUUUGGUUAAAAGAUAAAGAAGUUUGGUUAAGAACUCAUUUCUCUUUUAAUGCAGCUGUGACUCAAGAAGUAAUGCACACCGGGCAUGGUGGCUCACGCCUGUAAUCCCAGCCCUUGGGAGGCUGAGGCAGGAGGAUCAUUGCAAGUUCGAGGCCAGCCUGGGCUACAAAGUGAGCUCAAGGCCAGCCUGAAUUGCAUAGCGAGACCCUGUCUCAAAAAGACAAAAAAAAAAAAAAAUUAUGAGCACCUGUCUUGAAAGAAUCGAAUUAGUUAUCUAUAACUGAACUACAUUUCAUUUAUUCUCUUCCAUGUCAUCCAAGUUUCUGUUCAAUGUCAUCUCUUCAGGCAAACUGUCAGAUGACCUCUCUGCUUACAUUAGUGUCCCUUUGUCCUCAAUCAAUAAUUGCCUGUAAGGUAUUUAGUACUGGCGUGUGCUUAUUUCUCUAUCUUGCUAAUUUGGUUUGCUGUGACCUGCACGCAGGCAGGGACUUGGUUUAGUUUAGUAUUAAGGACAGUAGGAGUCUAUUUAGCCCCUAGACCCUGCCUGGCACAUUAAACUGAAAGCCCAAACAACUAGGGACAAGAAUUUUGACAUUUCCUCGUAAUAAACUCUAUUCACUUUUUUCUUUGGGUUGAAACCCAUCUCAUUACACUUUUCUUCUAUUUUUUAUGAUGAAGGAAUAAUAGACAAGAGUGUCAUUGGCAAUAAUCAACAGAAAAGCUAAUUUUGCUUGUGGUACAGGGCAACACCAAAAGAUUAAUGGCUGAGAAAAUAAGAAAGGUACCACAGAACAGCAUGUCCUUAACAUAAAUAUACUUCAGAAAUGAGUGAUGUAAAUUAUGUGAGAACUACCAUACAUUUCUUCAUAUGUGUUACAUAUGAUUGCAUUAGUGUGUCAGCUUUUAUGAAUGAACUAUACUGUG